Molecule: microRNA precursor, 125 nt
Filed under: Prunus dulcis (almond)
Lineage: Eukaryota; Viridiplantae; Streptophyta; Magnoliopsida; Rosales; Rosaceae
Description: sRNA ncRNA
Source: RNAcentral
GAUUAUGAACAGAAAGAAAGGAUUAUUGUAGCCUCAAAUUAGGUGCCUAUGUGGUAUUUGAGCUUAGUUAGGGAACUAAUUUUGAGGCUACAAUAAUCCUUUCUUUCUUUUCAUGAUCUUAAGAU